GAUGAACGCUGGCGGCGUGCCUAAUACAUGCAAGUCGAGCGAACAGACGAGGAGCUUGCUCCUCUGACGUUAGCGGCGGACGGGUGAGUAACACGUGGAUAACCUACCUAUAAGACUGGGAUAACUUCGGGAAACCGAAGCUAAUACCGGAUAAUAUAUUGAACCGCAUGGUUCAAUAGUUAAAGACGGUUUUGCUGUCACUUAUAGAUGGAUCCGCGCCGCAUUAGCUAGUUGGUAAGGUAACGGCUUACCAAGGCAACGAUGCGUAGCCGACCUGAGAGGGUGAUCGGCCACACUGGAACUGAGACACGGUCCAGACUCCUACGGGAGGCAGCAGUAGGGAAUCUUCCGCAAUGGGCGAAAGCCUGACGGAGCAACGCCGCGUGAGUGAUGAAGGUCUUCGGAUCGUAAAACUCUGUUAUUAGGGAAGAACAAAUGUGUAAGUAACUAUGCACGUCUUGACGGUACCUAAUCAGAAAGCCACGGCUAACUACGUG
RNAcentral lists this ribosomal RNA (497 nucleotides) under uncultured bacterium. RNAcentral describes it as "partial 16S ribosomal RNA". It matches the Rfam family "Bacterial small subunit ribosomal RNA", at positions 28 to 507 of the family's 1533-position model. The record is from RNAcentral.